GUGGGGUAACGGCCUACCAAGGCGAUGACGGGUAGCGGGUCUGAGAGGAUGAUCCGUCACACUGGGACUGAGACACUGCCCAGACUCCUACGGGAGGCUGCAGUCGAGAAUCUUCCGCAAUGGGCGAAAGCCUGACGGAGCGACACCGCGUGCAGGAUGAAGGCCUUAGGGUUGUAAACUGCUGUCACGCCAUAGGAAUGCUGCGAUGUGAAUAGUGUCGUAGUUGACCAAAGCGAGAGGAAGAGCCGGCUAACUCCGUGCCAGCAGCCGCGGUAAGGCGGAGGGCUCAAACGUUGUUCGGAAUCACUGGGCAUAAAGCGCACGUAGGCGGCCGCUUAAGUCGGAUGUGAAAGCCCCCGGCCCAACCGGGGUACUGCAUCCGAAACUGGGUGGCUCGAGGAUGGCAGGGGUGAGUGGAACUCCAGGUGGAACGGUGAAAUGUGUAGAUAUCUGGAGGAGCACCGGUGGCGAAAGCGGCUCACUGGGCCAUCACUGACGCUGAGGAGCGAAAGCCAGGGUAGCAAACGGGAUUAGAUACCCCGGUAGUCCUGGCCGUAAACGAUGGGCACUAGGCAGUGGACUGACCUAUGCGGUUCACUGCCGUAGCAAAUGUGUUAAGUG
This 621-nucleotide ribosomal RNA is filed under the name uncultured Actinomycetes bacterium. RNAcentral's name for it is "bacterial SSU rRNA". It matches the Rfam family "Bacterial small subunit ribosomal RNA", at positions 252 to 866 of the family's 1533-position model. Lineage: Bacteria; Bacillati; Actinomycetota; Actinomycetes. The record is from RNAcentral.